RNA transcript from Amphiprion ocellaris (clown anemonefish), 8928 nucleotides. It is a transcript of the gene named ATPase phospholipid transporting 11B (putative), with no coding region annotated. NCBI's taxonomy places the organism in Eukaryota, Metazoa, Chordata, Actinopteri, Pomacentridae. The record is from RefSeq and is a predicted model, not a curated record. The transcript is spliced from 32 exons.
GCAAAGGGAAAGUGAUCGUGGCAGAGCAGAGAUGUAGCAGCGUAGCUCGCUGGGACUCCGCGGCCAGCCGUCUGUCACUUUUUUUUAUACCAGAAACCAUUUGCCUGACAUCGCCGCGGAAUGGGAGAGAUUACACGUAUUUUUUGUACCGCUGCACUGUAUGAAUGUGCCGCGUAAUGCGACCGAGGACGGUUGCCUCUGGGGGGAAAUAUUUAUGUUCCGGGACCGUUUUGUUGGAGUAGCUAGUUGCUAGCACUGGGCUAGCGGCUGUGCUGGCUACUUCGAGCGUAUUCUGCAAGGAUGCUACGAUGGAUACGACAGCAGCUGGGCUUUGACCCCCCUCAUCAGAGUGAGACCAGAACGGUUUAUGUAGAAAACCGUUUCCCGCAGCAUGGCCACUACAUACCACAGCGCUUUGCUGACAACAGAAUCAUCUCAUCCAAGUACACAGUUUGGAAUUUUGUCCCCAAGAAUCUGUUUGAGCAAUUCAGAAGGAUAGCAAACUUCUAUUUCCUCAUUAUCUUCCUUGUGCAGUUAAUGAUAGAUACCCCAACUUCCCCAGUCACCAGCGGUCUGCCGCUCUUCUUUGUGAUUACAGUAACUGCCAUAAAACAGGGCUAUGAGGACUGGUUGAGACACAAGGCAGACAAUGAGGUGAAUGGGGCUCCAGUGUUUGUGGUUCGCAGUGGAAGCCUGGUCCAGACAAGAUCCAAGAAUAUCAGGGUGGGAGACAUUGUUCGUGUGGCUAAAGAUGAGACGUUCCCAGCUGACCUGGUGUUGCUGUCGUCAGAUCGUGCAGAUGGCACCUGUCACGUCACCACAGCCAGCCUCGAUGGAGAGACCAACCUUAAGACCCAUUACUCUGUGGCAGAGACAUCAGUGUGUCAGUCAGUGUCCCAAAUGGAGGCUCUGCAAGCUGUGGUGGAGUGUCAACAACCUGAAGCUGACCUGUACAGAUUUGUUGGUCGUAUGACAGUGACUCAGCAUGGAGAGGAGAUAGUCAGACCACUGGGUCCAGAGAAUUUGCUGCUGAGAGGUGCCAGGUUAAAAAAUACCAAAGAGAUUUACGGUGUGGCAGUUUACACAGGGAUGGAAUCAAAGAUGGCUCUCAACUACAAGUGCAAAUCCCAGAAACGCUCUGCAGUAGAGAAGUCAAUGAAUACCUUCCUCAUCAUCUACCUGGGCAUCCUGCUUUUUGAGGCCGUCCUCAGCACCAUCCUGAAGUAUGCCUGGCAGGCAGAGGAGAAAUGGGACGAGCCUUUCUACAACCAAAAGACUGAACAGGAGAGAAACAGCAGUCCGAUCUUAAAGUUCAUCUCAGACUUCUUGGCAUUUCUGGUCCUCUAUAACUUCAUCAUCCCCAUCUCGCUCUAUGUUACUGUGGAGAUGCAGAAGUUCCUGGGCUCCUUUUUCAUUGGCUGGGAUUUGGACCUUUACCACGAGGAAAGCGAUCAGAAAGCUCAGGUCAACACCUCGGACCUCAAUGAGGAGUUGGGACAGGUGGAGUAUGUGUUUACCGAUAAGACGGGUACGCUAACAGAAAAUGAAAUGCAAUUCCGUGAGUGUUCAAUCAAUGGAACCAAGUACCGUGAAGUUAAUGGCAAACUGGUACCAGAGGGAAUGACAGACGAUUCACCAGAUGGUUCCACACCUCACCUGAUUGGUGAGGAAUUGUUAUUUCUCAAGGCAGUGUCAUUGUGUCACACAGUUCAGAUCAGUUACGACCAGCCAGACUGUCUGGUUGGGGGAGGAGACCCAUUCUCCCAUGCCAACGGUUUCUCUUCCAAUCACAUGGAGUACUAUGCCUCUUCACCAGAUGAGAAAGCUUUGGUAGAGGCAGCAAAGAGGAUUGGAGUGGCCUUCACUUGCAGCAGCGGAGAUACCAUGGAAAUCAAAACAUUUGGCAAGUCAGAGAAGUAUAAACUACUCCAUGUGUUAGAGUUUGAUGCUGAUCGCAGGAGGAUGAGCGUCAUUCUACAGACUCCCUCGGGAGGCAAAGUGCUUUUCACCAAGGGUGCAGAGUCAGCCAUCUUGCCUUUCACUACUAGUGGUGAGAUUGAAAAGACAAGACUGCACGUUGACGAGUUUGCCUUGAAAGGUUUGCGGACUCUGGUGGUAGCGUGUCGACACUUCAGUCCAGAAGAGUACAUUGAUGUGGACAGGCGCCUGAACGCCGCCCGCACCGCGCUGCAGCAGAGGGAGGAGAGACUGCAGGAAGCCUUCAGCUACAUCGAGAGAGACCUGCAGCUUCUGGGAGCAACAGGGGUAGAAGACAAACUUCAAGACAAAGUCCAAGAGACCAUCGAGGCUUUGCGGCUGGCAGGAAUUAAAGUAUGGGUGUUGACAGGGGACAAACAUGAGACAGCAGUCAGUGUCAGCCUGUCCUGUGGCCACUUCCACAGAACCAUGAACAUCUUGGAGCUCCUGCAGCAGCGUUCUGAUAAUGAGUGUGCCGAGCAGCUCCGCAGACUGGCCAGAAGGAUAAAGGAAGACCAUGUCAUACAGCAUGGGUUGGUUGUAGAUGGGGCCAGCCUGUCUUUAGCAUUGAGGGAACACGAGAAGCUCUUUAUGGAAGUGUGUAAAAACUGUUCAGCUGUGCUCUGCUGCCGCAUGGCCCCACUUCAGAAAGCUAAGGUGGUGCGUCUUUUAAAGACCUCUCCAGAAAAACCCAUCACCUUAGCUAUUGGGGAUGGAGCUAAUGAUGUCAGCAUGAUACAGGAAGCCCACGUAGGCAUAGGUAUCAUGGGGAAGGAGGGUCGCCAGGCCGUGAGAAACAGUGACUAUGCAAUUGCCAGGUUUAAGUUCCUGGCUAAACUACUGCUGGUCCACGGUCACUUCUACUACAUUCGAAUAGCUACGCUUGUACAGUACUUUUUUUACAAGAAUGUGUGUUUUAUCACACCCCAGUUUUUAUACCAGUUCUUCUGUUUGUUUUCACAACAAACUCUGUAUGACAGUGUUUAUCUGACACUGUACAACAUCUGCUUCACCUCGCUGCCCAUCCUGGUGUACAGUCUGUUUGAACAGCUGGUCCAUCCCCAUAUACUGCAGAACAAACCUGGCCUGUACAGGGAUAUCAGCAAGAACUCUAUGUUGUCUUUCCGGACAUUCUUGUACUGGACUCUGUUGGGCUUCUGUCAUGCCUUUGUCUUCUUCUUUGGAUCGUACAUACUGAUGGGAGAAGACACUACUCUUAUGGGCAAUGGACAGAUCUUGCGAGCUAACAGGCAGCUGAUGUUCGGGAACUGGACAUUUGGAACGCUGGUCUUUACUGUUAUGGUCAUCACCGUCACAUUAAAGCUUGCAUUGGAGACUCAGUUUUGGACGUGGAUGAACCAUUUCGUGACGUGGGGCUCGAUUGCCUUCUAUUUCAUCUUCUCACUCUUCUAUGGAGGCAUUAUCUGGCCAUUCCUGCACACCCAGGACAUGUACUUCGUCUUCGUGCAGCUGCUCUCCAGUGGUUCAGCUUGGUUCGCCAUUAUCAUCAUCGUCAUAACCUGCCUCUUUCCUGAUGUGGUGAAGAAGGUCUUCUACAGACAUCUGCAGCCCACCAGCACACAGAAGAGUCAGAUGUAUUCCAACCGUGUGGCGAUAGGUGAUGACUUCAUCGCUCUGCAGCCUUUGUCCAGAGCCAAGAGCCAGCUGGGCAAAAUUAGUCUCUAUCAGCCCCCCAGGCGCAGACCCUCAGCUGUGUGGAGUCCCUGUGCUGCUACCAACAUGGGCAGAGUGGCUGUUCCCGCCUGGCCCACUUCCUGGAGCAAAUGACCGGACAGUGCAAGGCCAGCGCCAACAAUUGCCACGCAUCCAGCCGCAGCAACAGGUCUUGGAGCGACACGGAGAACUUCUACUCCAACGAUCGCAGCAUCCUGACGCUGUCGCCCAUCGAGGCCACCCACUGCUGACUCCCAGCGCCACUGACUUUAAACACACAGGACUGGGGGAGAGUUACCACUCCGCUAUGAACCAUAACCACACCCCCCUCCGCCCUUCCACCAUUUUGUAAACUGCUUCACUUAAAACUCAGUGCACUCUCAGCUGGAGUCAUCGCAGUCACACGGGAUGAAGAACCUGAGGACUUGGCUCGCUGCCGCAGGUUGAUUCAUCCUUCACCAGGUUGUGUCCCUGAGUGAAUCAAUUCUUAGAAAGGCUGAGGGGAAGAUCAGAUGGGAGCUGCAACAUUGAAGGAAAUAAAAUUUGUAAUGCAAAAGUCAGCCUGGCUUGACGUCUGUGGAGCUGCAGUCCUUCAUGUCAGAAGAUUCAGGUUUCAGCAAGUCCUGUAAAAUCACCUGAACACACCUUACAGGAAUCCACUACCUUUAAAAGUGUCUUUAAUGGUUAAAGUCUGUCUGAUCAGCCCUUCGAUCCAUGAGUUCUUACAGAGCUAUUUAUUUUUCAUUUUCUGAUCAGCUGCCAAGCAUUUAUUCUUGUGACUGGCAUUAAAUAGACCUUCUAAGUCUAAGCAGACACAGAAUGGAGAUUCCUGGCUGUCUGCUAUUUUUGCUACAGAGGUACGCUAACCCAGCCGGUUUGGAUAAGUGGACCGACCUCAGCGGAGGUCACAGUCGGUUUGACAAACCAGGAUCCUGCAUGUAGCACCAGGGCAGAAGCUGGGGAGCGUCAGACUGCAUUAUGAGAACACCUCCGAGGUGUCGACUAGCAGCGAAGGCUCCACAUCAAACUGCUUCCAGAAAACCGCUCCAUAAACUUCUAACACGGGUGUCUGUCAGCUGCCGACCCCACUGCUGCACCUUCUUUCUCAUUCAGACUGAAAGGGAAAAAGCUAAACCGCCCACAGUCCUGUAGCAUCCAGAGCCAUCCUGACCCAGAGGUUCUGCUGACUUGUCUCCUUCAGCCUUGCAGUACUCUCUCAAUACUGUACGUGGAGCUUCAGCUCUGCUGUGGUACCAAAGACCAAAGGAUUCCGACUGGAGUUUGAAAGAGAAAGUGUUUAUUUUUGUGCCUGAUUGUACAGAAGCUUAUAUAUUGUUGUUAAGAAGACUAGUUGUUGUUCGUGCUGCUUACUCGUCUGACUGUUCAGGCCUCUUGUCUCCCCGAUGUGUCGCUCUGAAAGAGGCGGGAUGUUUAAAAAGCCAUACAUUUUGAAGAGGUUCUAUUAUUGAGAGAUUACUGAAGGUACUGCAGAUGGAAGCUGUUUGAGCCUGUUGCUACUUUGUACUCAUCCCCUCUAAUGCCUUUUCUCAAUCAGCCCGACGACCAAAGGUAUCUCAGCAUUAAAGACAGUAAGGAUCAGGGCAUAUUUGAAGGGUUUUCUAACAUCUGUACACACAGAUUUGGAGAUAAAAUCUUUCAUCUGAGUUGCCUGGAAACAUUUCUGAUCAGAAGAUGGUAUCGUUUUUAUUUCAGUGGGACAAAAAUGGCUUUAAUGGUGAGAUGCUUUUCCAAAUCGCGGCUGAUGCAUGUCAACACAGACAGCAGAAUGUCUCUAUGUUCAGAUAGAUAAAUAUAAUUCACUUUGAGCAGAUAGGAAAAGAAAAGCAGAGCGUUUGCACAAAUCACAUCAGAUUCAUAUUUUAUUGGUUUUCUUUUCUGAAAAAAAAUCAUUGUCACCCGUCACCACUGAAAUCAUUUAAAUCACCUGUUUGCUGUUACAUUGUUUUUGCCAUGUGUGUGUUUCUCUUCACCAGCUGUUGAAGUGUGUCUGUGUGUGUGUGGAGGUUUAAUGUUUCUCUGUGUGGCGGCCGUGUUGGUUGAAGGUACAGUUUGUCACGUAGCUUUGUUGAAUGAUGCAGGUCAAAGGCCGUGUCUCUUUGACACUCUGUUCCCCCGCUGUUGAUCCAAAAUAAGCUGGAAGGAGGAGCUUUGUGACGGCUCUUAUUUUGAGGAGAACUCCAGAAGGUUCUUGACAGAAGCGUACCGUAGAAAUCCCCCAAGACAACCGUUUUAGACGCAGCGGUACAUGCCUCAGCUCACACAGGGAGCGUUCAGAGUCACAGGAUGUUUGUGUUGCUAUGGUUCAGCAUGUUGUCUGUCAUACUGUUGUCAGUCAAUUCAUUGAAUGUCCUUGUUGUUUAUUUUCUAUACGGUUCUCUUUGUUCCUUUCUGUUCACACGGGUGCAACUGCCAGUGGAAGUGUCUAUUUAUUAUUGCGAUACUUUUUUUUCUGUAUUUGUGUUAGAUUUUUCUUACAUAUCGAUGUAUCUGUAAACAGGAUGUUAGUCUGCCAUCAGAUAUUUAAAAGAGCAAAAGGACGCUUCCAGUUUUUAACCAGUUGACCUCAUAUCUGCUAUUAAAUCAUCUACCUUGAUACGCCUGUGAUCUGUGCAUGGAUUAAGAAAAGUACACCGUCAUAGGUUUCACAGCCGACCCUUUAACUGCCACAGAGAGUCCACUUCUAUCAGGCUCACAUUUUUUUUACUCGCCUUGUCGCCUAAAGUAAUAUCCAUGUCUGUAUGUGAACUGAACGAACUAUUGAUCGGUGAAAAAGUUCUUUUUGAGGUGAGCGACAAAAUCCAGUGUCCUCAUUCUGUGCACGCUGAACAGUGUCAGCAGUCGGACUCGGAGGAGUUUUCUUCUUUUCAGUAAGCAGAGUUCCUGCUUUGAUUCUCCCUAAACUGCUGUUUCCCACUGAGCUGCAGUAGAGGUAUUUUUGCACAGAACAAGGAGGACCCAAUUUUGUGGAUAUUAUUAUGGCCAGCACGAAUCCAAGCGAGGAAAAACUCUGAAUGCCUGAUUGUUGUUUUAAGACAGACUUGGAAAAAUGUGAGCCUGCCGUGUCGUUUAUUGUCUAAAACUGAUGAGGAGCAGAGCUGGGUGAUGUGGUCGAUCCACAAUACUCCUAUCAGUCUCCAGUUAAAGUCUGUUUGUUAUUUUCCUUUAAACUACUCAGAGGUCAGUGGAUGCCAUAAAUGAAUCAUCACUCGGCUCUUGUGAGGUCAGAUUUGACAAAAACGGGAAAAAAAAAUCAUCCACCAAGUUAGUAGAAGCAUCAACGAAAUUAGACGACCGCUAGCCUCGGUGUGUUGGGGCAUCAGUGCUGCGACGCUGCUGAUUUCUGCAUGAUAUUUUGGAGCAGAUGGCCGAGGAGGGAAGUCUAGUGCUUCCCUGCCAAAGGCAAAUGAGACGGAGCUGUGCAGAAACACCUGCAGUGUUAGAGCAGAUCUGAUGCCCCCUUGUGCUCAGUGUGGUGACCCUUAGUGUUCAAAACUAAACUGAUGAGAAAAGCACACUGUGACAUGAGUAAUUAUGUUUUUAGAACUGUUAAAGUCGAGGUAGGCAAUAUGUUUUGGGCGUCACUGGACAAAGAUUACAUUAUAACCAGUCAGUGUGUUGUAAUUGGAGCUCCAGAGGAAACUAGACCUUCGUUUUUGCAGCCUGACUCAAGUUUCAGGCUUUAGAAGAUCUAACCUGUUAUGGGAGAUUUGGCCGAAUAUGGUGCUUUUCAGAACACAUCAGGUGAGUAAACAUUUUAGAGUCAAAAUUAACCCAGUUUAAAGUUUGAAAAUGUGGAAGAAAAAAAUAUUUUCACAGUGAAACUUCUGAUGUCCACAUUUUCAACAUUUUUGAGAAAUCUUUGGACAUUUUUUGAUGGAAAAAAAAAUGUUUAAAAUGUUUCUUAAGAACGUUCACAAAAAAAUCAACCAAAAUCCAGCGAAAUUCACUGGAUUUUGGUUGGUUUUAAUGUGAAUGCUCUUAAAGAAAGUAUUAGAAGUUUUACUGAUAUAUAUGGAAUCACUUUAGAUAUUUUUAGGAUUUUUUUUGGAAGAUUUUUACAAAUUUUUUGAAAAUAUUUAGAAUUUUCUUGCCAAAUUUGGGGGAUUUUUUUUAAAUAAAACUUUUACAGGAAACUUUUAAAGAAUUAUUGGAAUUUUAUUUUAUUUUAUUUAUUUGAAAAAAAAGAUAAAAGAUCAUUUGGCGGAAAUAAAAAUGAGACUUUAUGGAGCAUUUUACAACAUUUUAAAAUAAUAGAGUUUCAUUUACUAUUUUCUGGUUAAAUAUUUAGGAUUUGAACACUUGAGGUCUCCACACUCCCCCACGUUUACGCCAGAAACCAAAAAUACCAUCCAGCAGUAAUUAAGCCUCAAACCAGGCAAUCAGAUGAGAUGUAAACGCCAGAAGUAAUUCACUCUCAAGUGGCACCAAAGUGGUGUUUUCACAUCUGUUUUGCUCGGGUCCGAACAGCUGUGGACCGAUCAUGUGAAAACCAGGAGCAGAUUCUCUAAAGCGCUGCAGCACUGACGUCAUGGUUUGGAGACGAGGCCUCCGGGGCGUUUCCAGGAGCAGGAAGAUUACUCAGACACAUAAUUCAGAAAAGAGAUUUAAUAUUUGAUCACACCUCAGCUCUCUGAUGGUCUCCAUGUCAUCCAUCAGAGGCAACAUCUGAGCUUCACCUUGUUCAAAGAGACCCAGAGCUCAGUCUGUCUGCAGGAGUUGCUGCUGUCGGAGAUACUGUCCAUGUCUCAUCUGGGUCCAUUCUGAGCUAAAAGAGCUCUGAGCUGCUGGAAGAGUGAUGAUUCACUUUCAGAAUUUGUGUUAAUUUUGCCUAUAAAUUGUCCUUAAACUUCAGCCUUCACUGUUGUUUUGAAGUUCUGAACUUUUGACUGCAGACAGAUGACCUCAGUGCAGAACAGCUUCUAAAAAGACUCCAUUGAAUUAAGGCUUCCGUGAUCAAAUCAGCUAAAAAGCCGGAGUCGGAACUAAAAUGUCAGUUUGCAGCAGAAUGUUGUGACUCAGCGUCAUCCAGUCAGACAGCAGGCUGCUCGUCGUCUCUGUGGAAACCAUCUCUCCUCCUCCUCUCAUCAGUAAAUCGUGUCGCACCUGACAAUUAAUAAGCCACCGCCAUCACUCUUCUGUUCACUGAUAUCUGAUGCUGUGUCUGUCCGUCCGUCUGUCCGUCCUCCUCCUGUCUGUAAAUCUGUCUUAUAGCUGAAGAUGCGGUUCUAUUUACGAAAUAAAUACAUUUUUUCAGAA